RNAcentral lists this ribosomal RNA (253 nucleotides) under uncultured bacterium. RNAcentral describes it as "partial 16S ribosomal RNA". It matches the Rfam family "Bacterial small subunit ribosomal RNA", at positions 524 to 776 of the family's 1533-position model. The record is from RNAcentral.
GACAGAGGGUGCAAGCGUUGUUCGGAAUCAUUGGGCGUAAAGCGCGCGUAGGCGGUUUCGUAAGUCGCAUGUGAAAUCCCCGGGCUCAACCUGGGAAGUGCAUGCGAUACUGUGAGACUAGAAUCUCGGAGAGGGUGGUGGAAUUCCCAGUGUAGAGGUGAAAUGCGUAGAUAUCAGGAGGAACACCGAUUGCGAAGGCAGCUCGCUGGGACGUAACUGACGCUGAGACGCGAAAGCGUGGGGAGCAAACAGG